This 492-nucleotide ribosomal RNA is filed under the name uncultured bacterium. Its description in RNAcentral is "partial 16S ribosomal RNA". It matches the Rfam family "Bacterial small subunit ribosomal RNA", at positions 29 to 507 of the family's 1533-position model. The record is from RNAcentral.
AGUGAACGCUGGCGGUAGGCCUAACACAUGCAAGUCGAACGGCAGCACAGUAAGAGCUUGCUCUUACGGGUGGCGAGUGGCGGACGGGUGAGGAAUACAUCGGAAUCUACUUUUUCGUGGGGGAUAACGUAGGGAAACUUACGCUAAUACCGCAUACGACCUAAGGGUGAAAGCAGGGGAUCUUCGGACCUUGCGCGAUUGAAUGAGCCGAUGUCGGAUUAGCUAGUUGGCGGGGUAAAGGCCCACCAAGGCGACGAUCCGUAGCUGGUCUGAGAGGAUGAUCAGCCACACUGGAACUGAGACACGGUCCAGACUCCUACGGGAGGCAGCAGUGGGGAAUAUUGGACAAAGGGCGCAAGCCUGAUCCAGCCAUACCGCGUGGGUGAAGAAGGCCUUCGGGUUGUAAAGCCCUUUUGUUGGGAAAGAAAAGCAGCAGGUUAAUACCCCGCUGUUCUGACGGUACCCAAAGAAUAAGCACCGGCUAACUUCGUG